RNAcentral lists this ribosomal RNA (497 nucleotides) under uncultured bacterium. RNAcentral's name for it is "partial 16S ribosomal RNA". It matches the Rfam family "Bacterial small subunit ribosomal RNA", at positions 28 to 507 of the family's 1533-position model. The record is from RNAcentral.
GAUGAACGCUGGCGGCGUGCCUAAUACAUGCCAGUCGAGCGAACGGACGAGAAGCUUGCUUCUCUGAUGUUAGCGGCGGACGGGUGAGUAACACGUGGAUAACCUACCUAUAAGACUGGGAUAACUUCGGGAAACCGGAGCUAAUACCGGAUGAUAUUUUGAACCGCAUGGUUCAAAAGUGAAAGACGGUCUUGCUGUCACUUAUAGAUGGAUCCGCGCUGCAUUAGCUAGUUGGUAAGGUAACGGCUUACCAAGGCAACGAUGCAUAGCCGACCUGAGAGGGUGAUAGGCCACACUGGAACUGAGACACGGUCCAGACUCCUACGGGAGGCAGCAGUAGGGAAUCUUCCGCAAUGGGCGAAAGCCUGACGGAGCAACGCCGCGUGAGUGAUGAAGGUCUUCGGAUCGUAAAACUCUGUUAUUAGGGAAGAACAUAUGUGUAAGUAACUGUGCACAUCGUGACGGUACCUAAUCAGAAAGCCACGGCUAACUACGUG